AUUGUCUCUCAGCCUUUUGGCUAGGAUUGAGUGUAGUAUCUGUUCUUACCAGAAAUGAAAACUUCCAGGCCCUUGUCCCAGACCUGCUGAGUUAGAAUCUGCGUUUUGUUGAGAUCCUCUGGUGAUUCAUAUAUUCCCUUUCAUGUAUACUUGUGAAGCGGGGGUGAGGAACUUCUGGCCCAUGGGCCAUAUAAG
Small nuclear RNA from Lepus europaeus (European hare), 195 nucleotides. RefSeq annotates it as U2 spliceosomal RNA. The record is from RefSeq and is a predicted model, not a curated record. NCBI's taxonomy places the organism in Eukaryota, Metazoa, Chordata, Mammalia, Lagomorpha, Leporidae. The transcript has a single exon.